UACGUAGGAGGCGAGCGUUGUCCGGAGUUACUGGGCGUAAAGGGUGCGCAGGUGGCCGUGCGCGUGGGGAGUGAAAUCGCCCGGCUUAACUGGGCGGGGGCCUUCCAGACGGCGUGGCUUGAGCAGCGGAGGGGGACGUGGAAGUUCCGGGUGGAGCGGUGAAAUGCGUAGAGAUCCGGAGGAACACCGACGGCGCAGGCAGCGUCCUGGCCGCUUGCUGACACUGAGGCACGAAAGCCGUGGGGAGCAAACAGG
Molecule: ribosomal RNA, 255 nt
Filed under: uncultured bacterium
Lineage: Bacteria
Description: partial 16S ribosomal RNA
Rfam family: Bacterial small subunit ribosomal RNA
Source: RNAcentral